Long non-coding RNA from Calypte anna (Anna's hummingbird), 259 nucleotides. RefSeq lists it as uncharacterized. The record is from RefSeq and is a predicted model, not a curated record. Lineage: Eukaryota; Metazoa; Chordata; Aves; Apodiformes; Trochilidae. The transcript is spliced from 3 exons.
UGUCCAGAACAUCCAAAAGGAGGGCGGCUGGGACAUGAUGGUGGACGUGGACACCCUCGAGAGAGGAGUCAGCUUGCUGGCCAGAGAGAUGAGGAAGAGCCCCGCUAAGCAGCGAUACCUCCUGUUCCAGCACGUCAAGGAGAUUCUUGACCAGAGGAGGGAAUGGCAGCUCAACUUUGCCAUGACUUUCUAUACUGAGCUGCUGGGCUGCCAGGGCCUAGGAAAGGAUCGGAGUGACGUGCGCCUCCUCCAUUCCUAC